CAGCCGCCGCGGUAAUACAGAGGGUGCGAGCGUUAAUCGGAUUUACUGGGCGUAAAGCGUGCGUAGGCGGCUUCUUAAGUCGGAUGUGAAAUCCCUGAGCUUAACUUAGGAAUUGCAUUCGAUACUGGGAAGCUAGAGUAUGGGAGAGGAUGGUAGAAUUCCAGGUGUAGCGGUGAAAUGCGUAGAGAUCUGGAGGAAUACCGAUGGCGAAGGCAGCCAUCUGGCCUAAUACUGACGCUGAGGUACGAAAGCAUGGGGAGCAAACAGGGUUAGAUACCCCAGUAGUCCCUGUCUCUUAUAC
RNAcentral lists this ribosomal RNA (301 nucleotides) under uncultured bacterium. Its description in RNAcentral is "partial 16S ribosomal RNA". It matches the Rfam family "Bacterial small subunit ribosomal RNA", at positions 509 to 807 of the family's 1533-position model. The record is from RNAcentral.